GAUGAACGCUGGCGGCGUGCCUAAUACAUGCAAGUCUAGCGAACGGACGAGAAGCUUGCUUUUCUGAUGUUAGCGGCGGACGGGUGAGUAACACGUGGAUAACCUACCUAUAAGACUGGGAUAACUUCGGGAAACCGGAGCUAAUACCGGAUAAUAUUUUGAACCGCAUGGUUCAAAAGUGAAAGACGGUCUUGCUGUCACUUAUAGAUGGAUCCGCGCUGCAUUAGCUAGUUGGUAAGGUAACGGCUUACCAAGGCAACGAUGCAUAGCCGACCUGAGAGGGUGAUCGGCCACACUGGAACUGAGACACGGUCCAGACUCCUACGGGAGGCAGCAGUAGGGAAUCUUCCGCAAUGGGCGAAAGCCUGACGGAGCAACGCCGCGUGAGUGAUGAAGGUCUUCGGAUCGUAAAACUCUGUUAUUAGGGAAGAACAUAUGUGUAAGUAACUGUGCACAUCUUGACGGUACCUAAUCAGAAAGCCACGGCUAACUACGUG
RNAcentral lists this ribosomal RNA (497 nucleotides) under uncultured bacterium. Its description in RNAcentral is "partial 16S ribosomal RNA". It matches the Rfam family "Bacterial small subunit ribosomal RNA", at positions 28 to 507 of the family's 1533-position model. The record is from RNAcentral.